RNAcentral lists this ribosomal RNA (1486 nucleotides) under uncultured bacterium. RNAcentral's name for it is "bacterial SSU rRNA". It matches the Rfam family "Bacterial small subunit ribosomal RNA". The record is from RNAcentral.
AGAGUUUGAUCCUGGCUCAGGAUGAACGCUAGCGGCAGGCCUAACACAUGCAAGUCGAGGGGCAGCGCGGGUAGCAAUACCCGGCGGCGACCGGCGCACGGGUGCGUAACACGUAUGCAAUCUGCCCUGUACAGGAGAAUAACCCGGAGAAAUCCGGCCUAAUGCUCCAUAGCGCGUAGGAGCGGCAUCGCCCUUACGCUAAAGAGCCAUCGGUACAGGAUGAGCAUGCGCCCUAUUAGCUAGUUGGCGGGGUAACAGCCCACCAAGGCCACGAUAGGUAGGGGUUCUGAGAGGAAGGUCCCCCACACUGGUACUGAGACACGGACCAGACUCCUACGGGAGGCAGCAGUGAGGAAUAUUGGUCAAUGGGCGCAAGCCUGACAGCCAUGCCGCGUGCAGGACGACGGCCCUACGGGUUGUAAACUGCUUUUGCACGGGAGCAAACCCGGCCCCGCGGGGCCGGUUGAGAGUACCGUGCGAAUAAGGAUCGGCUAACUCCGUGCCAGCAGCCGCGGUAAUACGGAGGAUCCGAGCGUUAUCCGGAUUCAUUGGGUUUAAAGGGUGCGUAGGCGGCUUGGUAAGUCAGCGGUGAAAGGCUGGGGCUCAACCCCAGCAGCGCCGUUGAAACUGCCGAGCUUGAGUACGGAUGAAGCCGGCGGAAUGCGCAGUGUAGCGGUGAAAUGCAUAGAUAUUGCGCAGAAGGCCGAUUGCGAAGGCAGCUGGCUAAUCCGGAACUGACGCUGAGGCACGAAAGCGUGGGGAUCAAACAGGAUUAGAUACCCUGGUAGUCCACGCCGUAAACGAUGAUAGCUCGCUGCUGGCGAUACACAGUCAGUGGCCAAGCGAAAGCGGUAAGCUAUCCACCUGGGGAGUACGUUCGCAAGAAUGAAACUCAAAGGAAUUGACGGGGGCCCGCACGAGCGGAGGAACAUGUGGUUUAAUUCGAUGAUACGCGAGGAACCUUACCCGGGCUCGAACGGCUUCUGAAUGCGGGCGAAAGUUCGCAGCCAGCAAUGGCAGGAGCCGAGGUGCUGCAUGGUUGUCGUCAGCUCGUGCCGUGAGGUGUCGGCUUAAGUGCCAUAACGAGCGCAACCCCUAUCUCCAGUUGCCAGCGGGUGAAGCCGGGGACUCUGGAGAGACUGCCAGCGUAAGCUGCGAGGAGGGUGGGGAUGACGUCAAAUCAGCACGGCCCUUACGUCCGGGGCGACACACGUGUUACAAUGGGUGGUACAGAGGGCCGCUACCGGGCAACCGGAUGCCAAUCUCGAAAGCCACUCCCAGUUCGGAUCGGAGUCUGCAACCCGACUCCGUGAAGUUGGAUUCGCUAGUAAUCGCGCAUCAGCCACGGCGCGGUGAAUACGUUCCCGGGCCUUGUACACACCGCCCGUCAAGCCAUGGAAGCUGGGGGUACCUGAAGUGCGUGACCGCGAGGAGCGCCCUAGGGUAAGACCGGUGACUGGGGCUAAGUCGUAACAAGGUAACCGUA